This 517-nucleotide ribosomal RNA is filed under the name uncultured bacterium. RNAcentral describes it as "bacterial SSU rRNA". It matches the Rfam family "Bacterial small subunit ribosomal RNA", at positions 9 to 526 of the family's 1533-position model. The record is from RNAcentral.
GAGUUUGAUCCUGGCUCAGGACGAACGCUGGCGGCGUGCUUAACACAUGCAAGUCGAGCGAAGCACUUUUGCAGAUUUCUUCGGAUUGAAGCAAUUGUGACUGAGCGGCGGACGGGUGAGUAACGCGUGGGUAACCUGCCUCAUACAGGGGGAUAACAGUUGGAAACGGCUGCUAAUACCGCAUAAGCGCACAGUACCGCAUGGUACCGUGUGAAAAACUCCGGUGGUAUGAGAUGGACCCGCGUCUGAUUAGCUAGUUGGUGGGGUAACGGCCUACCAAGGCGACGAUCAGUAGCCGACCUGAGAGGGUGACCGGCCACAUUGGGACUGAGACACGGCCCAAACUCCUACGGGAGGCAGCAGUGGGGAAUAUUGCACAAUGGGGGGAACCCUGAUGCAGCGACGCCGCGUGAGCGAUGAAGUAUUUCGGUAUGUAAAGCUCUAUCAGCAGGGAAGAAAAUGACGGUACCUGACUAAGAAGCCCCGGCUAACUACGUGGCAGCCGCCGCGGUAAUUC